UUGAUCAGUUCUACAGUUUGAGGGGGAGAAAACCAGGAAAGAUAAGAUUACAGAUGAUUUUCUUGCAUCCAACGAUAAUCUUCCUCGAUUUGCUUAGCCAAUUCCCUCGUCAGUCUAUCGGCGCGGUCAUCGUGUCCCCCUGCGAAGGUAUACACUCUGAACGCGAAUUGAAACGCUCUCCACAGCGUCUUACAACACGCCUUGCUAGGUUGAGCUCCGCUUUUCUCAGCAUCUCUCCUUUCCUGCCAAAUUAGAAAAGGUGAUACCGUGACAGUCAAAGUUGUAAUGAACAACUGUGAAGUAUUAGGGUUUGGAGAAAUUUACUUUCAUGGCUAAUUCCAUGCAAUUCGAUGAAAGAUCCACCACGGCUUCUUUAAUCUGUACUAGGAUCUGCAGGUCGAACUCGAUGUUAUGGCUCUUGAACUUCUUGCAUUCUUCUUCUUUAAUUCUCUCGAAUGCAUCCAGCUCUCCGUUCAUCUGGAAAGUCUUUUAGUUCGUGAUUGGUCAUUGAAUUUUGGCGUAGCUAGAGUUACCAAUCUGGUUUAAUAGAUUUGAGCAUAGUUACCGAUCUUUGAGAUAUGUCGUAGCUACUACCUUGCUGAAGUAACGCUCAAUCCUGUCAAGAAGCCGUUCCAAUGGGGAUCCGAUCUUCCAUGCCUGUAGGUCAGUAACAACUCCUUUUAGCUUACAGUAGAGUGCUGCUGCUGAUCUUGUUACUUCCAACUUCUUUUGCGGGAAGCCUUCAAACCUCACUAGGACCUGCAUUGCAGAUAUUUUCAUAUGUUUUCAAUAUCUUCUUGUGAAACGAAAACCAUGAUUAGUUAAUCAAACAUUUUGCUGCCAACCUGUGAUUCAUCAGUUAGAUUCUCGAGAACGGAUUCGACAUACUUGUAGAAGUUGACUAACUCUGUCAUGUCCUUUGUUUUGAAACUGCUAAGUUCUCUCUUUAGCCUAUUUAUUUCCUCUUCAUAGGUUUGGACGUCUUCUUGAAUUUGUUGGAAGUAUGCUGAUCUAUGAUAGGAAGAACAAUCAAGGGAAGGGGAUACAUAGGAAGAACAAUCAAGUGAAGGGGAUACAAGCUUUACCUCUUUGUUAUCUCCGCUAGUGCAUCGGCCAUUCCUUGCUUUCCACCAGCAUUGUUGGAAUUUGGGUUUCCUUUUCCAUUCUGCCUUCGGAUUUGAUUACCUCCUUCUACUUUCCCUUUCAAAGCUCUGUACAAGUUACCCAUUUGGCUUGACCUUUUCAAUUUGCUUUGUGCUCUCCUUGGACGCAGCAACUUUGCUCCACCUGGUGGAGGAGGCGGAGGAGUGAUUCCUUGUGAGGGUGCUUCCAUGCAAUUUGAGGCUGAUCCAUUUGAAGAUGUCCUUGGAAGACUUGGUGAAGAGUGCAUUGCUUGUGUGGUUCUUGGAAUACGUAGAGAUGAUGAACGUGAUGAGGUUGGUUUCUCACUAUCUGAUGUUUUUUGCGGCGGUGGUGGUGGAUGUGGCACUGAUGAUGAAGAUGGUUUUUCAGUUUCUUCUGCUGUAUGUGGACUAAGCUGUAAUGAUAUACUUGCGGUAGCUGCUUGAGACUUCAAAACUGGAGUUUGCAGAGGCAGUUCAGUAGCCAGUGGCUGGAGUUGGGACACUCGAUGCAAAGGAGGCAGUGGUGGAGGUUUGGGUGGUUGUGAACCUCUUGGCAUCUUUAUCCUCGUGGUUGAUGGUGGUGGUUGUGGAGGUGGGGGUGGGGGAGGUACUGAUGCUUCCGAGACCAGUUCUGAAGACAUAGGCUCUUCAGACAGCAUUGCCAAUUCCUUGGCUUGUACGGUUGUGGGAAUUGUGUCAGUCACUGAACUCUCUCUAGUUUCAUCAUCCGAGUCUAUUUCACCUUCCGAGGAUUGACUUCCAUCCAUUUCCAAUAUCGGCUCCCCAUCUGGCUGCUUACCUUCAGCGCGGUGUUUGCUCACAUUGUUCUUAUGGUGGCCAUGAGAGAUGCCAUGUGGGAACAAAUGGAAAGGGAGCUUUUUGAUGUCGACGCGGCUCAAUUUCCCUACUGAUUGAAAGCUCAAAAACCUCAGAAGGGGCGACGAACAGUACAAGUUGGAAAACUCCUUGGCCUUGGGAGAAU
Molecule: long non-coding RNA, 2106 nt
Filed under: Linum usitatissimum (flax)
Lineage: Eukaryota; Viridiplantae; Streptophyta; Magnoliopsida; Malpighiales; Linaceae
Description: long non-coding RNA (LUSI_LNC004656)
Source: RNAcentral